CUUCAUCAUAUACAAUAUCAUGCAAUACAACAAUAAACAAUAAAUUGUCAAGCAUACAAUGAGAGAUAUAAAUGCAAAUUGAUACAAAAUAAAAAGAACAAAUAAUUUACAUAUCAACAAUAAUUGGUUAUUGGGCAAAGAAUGAGAGAGAGUUCAAAUUAGAAGUGCAAUUAAUGGACUUCUAACCAUAACAUUAAGAUAUCCUUUGGGAGCACAUAGUGAUCUAAUAUAGGCAAAUAGUCUCUCCACAGACAUGAAUGUAUAGUGAAUAAGUAGGCCUUGCAUCUUUUUCAUCUGUAAUAAAUUGCUGACUUGCAAGAUUCCAUAAUUUCUGGUAUCACAUCCUUUAACAUAGAUUAAUAACAAUUUACUCUACUUCUUCAUUGGCAUCAGUUGCACCUAUAUAGUUAUAACAUUUGUUUAAAAUUUAUUUUUCCUAAAUAUUUCUUGCUAAAUUAUAUGUGGCUUGAAAUAACCUGGAUAAUGUCAAUGGCAUUUCUGUACUGUCUACAAGAAAACUGUGCAUGAACUUAGGAAAAGUCAAGGACGUUCAUCCUUAUUUUUUGAGAACCAGGGAUGAAUAAUGAUGUUGGAUUUGGACUUGAAAAAUCAAGGUUCAAAUCCCCAGAGGAUGACCCUGAGCCAGUCACUGUCUCUCAACUUAAUUCACUUCAUAGAGUUGUUGUGAGGAUAAAAUGGAGAGAAAGAAUAAACUCACAAUCUGCACAGCAUCACCUAAGAGCUGGUGUAAUGCACAAAUGUGAGCUGUGAGCUAGGAAAUCACCAGCUCAGAUAUCAUUUCAUCCAUGACCUCAUAAAGUGCACUGCAUUGCUUUGUAAGGGCAAGAAACAGACUUGAGGAUUUGGAGGCAAUCAAAAAGCAUCAUUGUGUAAGGCUAGACAAAAUGCUAUGGACCAAAGAGAGGGAAUACAAAGUAAAAGAGAUGCCUUACAUCCUUCUGUUUGUCAGGAAACGGCAGAGAGACCCAAAAGCUGGCAGAUACCCGGUACUUUCCACAUUCUUAGGACUUGUAUAUCAUUUUGUGUAUUUACAGUUAUCACCAAGAUAGUGGACACUGAUACUUUCAAAAAACAACAGGGCUUGCCAAGGAUGGUGAAAGAGGUAACCUUCUAAUGAUCAAUUCAUGACCAGGGCCAAGGGCAAAGGUAAAAGUGCCCAGAUUAAUAGAUAAGGCAUAUAUUUUUAUUUUGUUUUUCUGCAGGGUACCUCCAUCCAUUCCAAAGGUCAAAAGGUUCUGUGCACUGUUUUCACUCACAUACACAUACAUAUCCUCUAUCUAGGUCGGCAGAGGGACUUAUAACAGCUCAGGUAAACUGCUCUACUCUUCCAAACAAGUAGAAAAGCUCAAGGAGGUGCAGAAUUGAUCUGCUAAGGAACAUGACCUGCCAAAAAGCAUGAUGUGAUGUGAUGGAUGGAUAGAAAAGCCUGGAGACCUGCACUCUCAAUCAACACCCUCUCUUCCCUUCUCAGUACAAGUCAAAGAUUAGGGCAGGAGCUGCACAGUGCCUUUAUGGCACCUUGAAUGUGCAAGGAGGAUGCAGUAUCUGCAUGACCCUGCCCCCUUGUUGCAUGUGGAUGUGGAGCAUGGCAUCUGCAUGGACACCGCACUCUACGCCUACCAUGCCAUAGCACAUGCUCUGAGACCUCCUCAAACAGCUUUUGGAGCCAGCUGCUUGAGAUGACUUACUGGUCCCCUAGGUGGUGUUUGCAUAUUGGAACACAGAGAGUGCCCUUGCUUUCAGAUUCCCCUGUUUCAAUUCUAAGGUCUCCUCCUCAUCUAUCAAUCACAGCUAGGGAAUCCCCAGUCCUGAUUUUG
RNAcentral lists this long non-coding RNA (1838 nucleotides) under Salvator merianae (Argentine black and white tegu). RNAcentral describes it as "lncRNA (ENSSMRG00000000419.1)". The record is from RNAcentral. Lineage: Eukaryota; Metazoa; Chordata; Lepidosauria; Squamata; Teiidae.